UACGUAGGGACCAAGCGUUGUCCGGAUUUAUUGGGCGUAAAGAGCGUGUAGGCGGCUUUACAGGUCCGUUGUGAAAACUCGAGGCUCAACCUCGAGACGCCGGUGGAAACCGUAAAGCUAGAGUCCGGAAGAGGAGAGUGGAAUUCCUGGUGUAGCGGUGAAAUGCGCAGAUAUCAGGAAGAACACCCGUGGCGAAGGCGGCUCUCUGGGACGGUACUGACGCUGAGACGCGAAAGCGUGGGGAGCAAACAGG
RNAcentral lists this ribosomal RNA (253 nucleotides) under uncultured bacterium. Its description in RNAcentral is "partial 16S ribosomal RNA". It matches the Rfam family "Bacterial small subunit ribosomal RNA", at positions 524 to 776 of the family's 1533-position model. The record is from RNAcentral.